CGCGUAGGCGGCUUUACAAGUCAGAUGUGAAAGCCCCGGGCUUAACCCGGGAAUUGCAUCUGAAACUGUUUAGCUUGAGUCCUGGAGGGGGUAGUGGAAUUCCCAGUGUAGCGGUGAAAUGCGUAGAUAUUGGGAGGAACACCUGCGGCGAAGGCGGCUACCUGGACAGUGACUGACGCUGAGGCGCGAAAGCUAGGGGAGCGAACGG
This 208-nucleotide ribosomal RNA is filed under the name uncultured Acidobacteriota bacterium. Its description in RNAcentral is "uncultured Acidobacteria bacterium partial 16S ribosomal RNA". It matches the Rfam family "Bacterial small subunit ribosomal RNA", at positions 568 to 775 of the family's 1533-position model. The record is from RNAcentral. Lineage: Bacteria; Pseudomonadati; Acidobacteriota.